Oxyura jamaicensis (ruddy duck) is the source of this 430-nucleotide long non-coding RNA. RefSeq lists it as uncharacterized. Lineage: Eukaryota; Metazoa; Chordata; Aves; Anseriformes; Anatidae. The record is from RefSeq and is a predicted model, not a curated record. The transcript is spliced from 2 exons.
CAUCCGGUUUCCAAGGGUCUUCAGCUUCCUGGAUAAAAUUCUUCAAUUGGUGGUUAAUCCUGUUCAACAGAUUUCCUUAUGUGGUGAAUAAGCCAUUUCAGACUCCUGAUGCAAUGCUGGUUAAACGUUGGCCUUGGCUCUUUUCCUCCUGCAGCUUUGUGUUGCAUCAGUGGAAAAUUGGCUGUUUGAGAGUUAUCCCAGAUGAGGUAUCCCUGUAGGAUGUUCAUACUUUUCCUUCCAUGGUAUGUAGCUUAAGAUGGUCAAUCAAAAAUCUUGCUGUCCUCAGAAAUGAGCAGCGAUUUAUUGUGAUUGCUAGGAAUUUUCUCCCAUGAUUACAGAUAGGAAUGACACCUGUGGUUCUGUAUUUUGCCUGUACCAGAAGAAGGUGUGAAUUUUUCAGGUCAUGACAACAUUUGCAUGACCUUCAAGG